This is a long non-coding RNA of Triticum dicoccoides, 749 nucleotides long. RefSeq lists it as uncharacterized. The transcript has 2 exons. NCBI's taxonomy places the organism in Eukaryota, Viridiplantae, Streptophyta, Magnoliopsida, Poales, Poaceae. The record is from RefSeq and is a predicted model, not a curated record.
AGUAUGGAUCGAGAACUCGGGAUCGAGAGAGGAUGCGGCCGUGUGAGGCGACCUUCGCCUGCCCGAACGGUUAUGGUGAAUCGUGAGUUCAGCGGGGUGGAAACCAUGGUGAUGCGACCGACCGGGUACCCUCGUCGGGCUACGCCACGAAGAGGUGGCGCGGACAUUGAAUCGUCUACUGACGAUUCGAGUCCCUUCACCCGCGAUUCCGGAACAAAUCGGACAUGAAUGUUAAUAGGUGUGCGUCGGUCGCAGUCUCCCGAUAAUUGCAGGUUCUGUAGCUCUGUCCAUUGGAGCUUGCUUGCGACGGGUUUGCUGAAUCGCAAGGUGAAGCACUGCUUACAACUUCGACGACUUUGUGCUGAAUAAUAUGUUUGAACGACUACAUCUUCUAAUUGCUCAAGUGCCAAUGCUCUGGGCCUGUAUUGUUUCACAAAAGCACAAAUCUGCUAUGAGGGGAUCUACCUUCUGCUAAUAUUGCUCCUAACGCUCUGGCCCUGUAUUCAGUUUGGGGUAUGAAGUCCUUGUUGCCAUCUUCAUUUUUGUCACAGGAGGAUGCGAACGAUUUGUUACAAUUUGUAACCUUCUCACAUGGAAGAGCUACUCGCUACCAUUUGUAACCUUCUUUUUUGGUUGAUUACUGUGCUAUAAGGCUGUUGUAUUCCUGUUCAGGCUGUUACUGCAGAAUUUUCUGCUACCUAUGAUGUAAGACUGAAUGGCCGUUUUUAAUAAGUUUUCUCAAAGUUGAA